RNAcentral lists this signal recognition particle RNA (97 nucleotides) under Dethiosulfatarculus sandiegensis. RNAcentral describes it as "Bacterial small signal recognition particle RNA". It matches the Rfam family "Bacterial small signal recognition particle RNA". Rfam says of the family: The signal recognition particle (SRP) is a universally conserved ribonucleoprotein involved in the co-translational targeting of proteins to membranes. Archaeal SRP consists of a 7S RNA and homologues of the eukaryotic SRP19 and SRP54 proteins. The record is from Rfam by way of RNAcentral. Lineage: Bacteria; Pseudomonadati; Thermodesulfobacteriota; Desulfarculia; Desulfarculales; Desulfarculaceae.
UGCUGGACGCCGCGUGACGGACGGUCGUGAACCCCGUCAGAUCCGGAAGGAAGCAGCGGUAAGCGAUGCAGUCGGUGUCGCGGAUUGUUCUGGUUAU